Molecule: ribosomal RNA, 762 nt
Filed under: Psychrobacter sp.
Lineage: Bacteria; Pseudomonadati; Pseudomonadota; Gammaproteobacteria; Moraxellales; Moraxellaceae
Description: partial 16S ribosomal RNA
Rfam family: Bacterial small subunit ribosomal RNA
Source: RNAcentral
AAUACCCGAUGGGCGAAAGGCCAGCUUUCKGGCAUCCAUAUUGGACACUGAGGGUUGGAARAGCGUGGGUAGCAAACAGGAUUAGAUACCCYKGGUAGUCCACRCCGUAAASGAUGUCUACUAGUCGUUGGUCCCUUGAGGGACUUAGUGACGCAGCUAACGCAAUAAGUAGRCCGCSUGGGGAGUACGGCCGCAAGGUUAAAACUCAAAWGAAUUGACGGGGGCCCGCACAAGCGGUGGAGCAUGUGGUUUAAUUCGAUGCAACGCGAAGAACCUUACCUGGUCUUGACAUAUCUAGAAUCCYGCAGAGAUGCGGGAGUGCCUUCGGGAAUUAGAAUACAGGUKCURCAAGACAGUMGUCAGCUCGUGUCGUGAGAUGUUGGGUUAAGUCCCGCAACGAGCGCAACCCUUGUCCUUAGUUACCAGCGGGUUAAGCCGGGAACUMUAAGGAUACUGCCAGUGACAAACUGGAGGAAGGCGGGGACGACGUCAAGUCAUCAUGGCCCUUACGACCAGGGCUACACACGUGCUACAAUGGUAGGUACAGAGGGCAGCUACACAGCGAUGUGAUGCGAAUCUCAAAAAGCCUAUCGUAGUCCAGAUUGGAGUCUGCAACUCGACUCCAUGAAGUAGGAAUCGCUAGUAAUCGCGGAUCAGAAUGCCGCGGUUAAUGCAUUCCCGGGCCUUGUACACACCGCCCGUCACYCCUCCGGUUUUAUCCACCAGAAGUGGAUAGCCUAACCUUUCSGGAAGKCKUUCACC